AUUAAACUGAUGAAUAAGAGUAGUAUUCUAGAAUAAUAUGUUUUCAGAGAGUCGUGGUUGGUGGAAUGCGAUAACAUCUAUCUAGUUGAAUGGACUUAUGAAGGCAGUCUGAAAGGAUUUUUUCUGAGUAGGCACUGACGGGAACUCGACCCGUUAUAAAUAGAGCGUAUAUUAUUAUGUAUAUGAAAUGAGUGGGUAAUUUUUUACCAAUUUGGGUGGUAUCGCAGGACUAUAGGCUCUUGUCCCUUUU
This 250-nucleotide non-coding RNA is filed under the name Clostridium magnum. RNAcentral's name for it is "T-box sequence". It matches the Rfam family "T-box leader". Rfam says of the family: Uncharged tRNA acts as the effector for transcription antitermination of genes in the T-box leader family. Lineage: Bacteria; Bacillati; Bacillota; Clostridia; Eubacteriales; Clostridiaceae. The record is from RNAcentral.